Molecule: ribosomal RNA, 232 nt
Filed under: uncultured bacterium
Lineage: Bacteria
Description: partial 16S ribosomal RNA
Rfam family: Bacterial small subunit ribosomal RNA
Source: RNAcentral
GAUCAUGGCUCAGGAUGAACGCUAGCGACAGGCCUAACACAUGCAAGUCGAGGGGCAGCGGAGAGGUAGCAAUACCUUUGCCGGCGACCGGCGCACGGGUGAGUGACACGUAUGCAAUCCACCUGUAACAGGGGGAUAACCCGGAGAAAUCCGGACUAAUACCCCCAUAAUAUGGGCGUUCCGCAUGGAGAGCUCAUUAAAGNGAGCAAUUUUGGUUACAGACGAGCAUGCG